RNAcentral lists this ribosomal RNA (469 nucleotides) under uncultured bacterium. RNAcentral describes it as "partial 16S ribosomal RNA". It matches the Rfam family "Bacterial small subunit ribosomal RNA", at positions 28 to 507 of the family's 1533-position model. The record is from RNAcentral.
GACGAACGCUGGCGGCGUGCUUAACACAUGCAAGUCGAACGGUGAAGCGAGUUCGUGCGCUCGUGGAUCAGGGGCGAACGGGUGAGUAACACGUGAGUAACCUGCCCAUCACGCUGGAAUAAGCACUGGAAACGGUGUCUAAUACUGGAUACGACCAACCCUUGCAUGGGGUGGGGGUGCAAAGGUGUAUCGGUGAUGGAUGGACUCGCGUCCGCUCAGUUUGUUGGCGGGGUAAUGGCCAACCAGGGCGGGGACGGGUGGCCGGCCUGGGGGGGUGCCCGGCCCCACUGGGACUGAGAACGGGCCCGACCCCCACCGGGAGGCAGCGGUGGGGAAUAUUGCACAAUGGGCGAAGGCCUGAUGCAGAGACGCCGCGUGGGGGAUGACGGCCUUCGGGUGGUAACCCUCUUUCAGCGGGGAAGAAGCGAAAGUGACGGUACCUGCAGAAGAAGCACCGGCUAACUACGUG